This is a long non-coding RNA of Melopsittacus undulatus (budgerigar), 381 nucleotides long. RefSeq lists it as uncharacterized. The record is from RefSeq and is a predicted model, not a curated record. The transcript is spliced from 2 exons. NCBI's taxonomy places the organism in Eukaryota, Metazoa, Chordata, Aves, Psittaciformes, Psittaculidae.
CUGCUCUCCGAGGAACCUAGGCACCUCCAUCAGGUAAUUACUUGGGAGGAGUGAGGAAUGGCAAAGAAGGGGAGAAGACCAUGGGAAGAGGAACCUGGCCAUACCUCCAUUCCCCACAGUAAUGCUCUGAACAGGAUGCUGUGGAUUGCUUGUUCCUCUCAGCAUGGAGCAGUCCUGCUCCUGCUGCUCCCUGGCCGAGCCCAGUUGUCCAGCCAGCCUCAUGUCAUCCCUCCUUCCUGAGAAAAGAUCUUGCCUUUACCCCUGUAAUAAGUCUGGUUCUCUAUGCUUACAGGUUUUCGUGUUACGGAAAGCAAAAGAUAGUGUACUUUGACUGUUGGGAAAGGGAUGGAUACAAGUUAAUAAAAUUAAAGAGAAAACUGA